UGGUUAGAGGCGCGGGUUUUGAUCAGUAUCCGGCGGAGGACGACAGCCGUCCUUGGAAACCGGUGAAAGGCAUAUCCGCCGAAGGCGUUCCGGGGCUGUCUGCCCGGCGCCUGGUCGCAGUGGCGAAGAGCGCUGCGAUUGUCAUCCUAUGGGAUGGAGCGCUAGC
Molecule: non-coding RNA, 166 nt
Filed under: human gut metagenome
Description: Lysine riboswitch
Rfam family: Lysine riboswitch aptamer
About the family: Riboswitches are metabolite binding domains within certain messenger RNAs that serve as precision sensors for their corresponding targets. Allosteric rearrangement of mRNA structure is mediated by ligand binding, and this results in modulation of gene expression.
Source: RNAcentral